GUGUCAGCAGCCGCGCGGUAAUACGAAGGGUGCAAGCGUUGUUCGGAUUUACUGGGCGUAAAGCGCGCGCAGGCGGAUUGAUAAGUCAGAUGUGAAAUCUCGGGGCUCAACCCCGAAACCGCAUCUGAAACUGUUGAUCUAGAGUUAUGUAGGGGAGAAGGGAAUUUCGCAUGUAGGGGUAAAAUCCGUAGAGAUGCGAAGGAACACCAGAGCCGAAGGGGCUUCUCUGGGCAUACACUGACGCUGAGGCGCGAAAGCGUGGGUAGCAAACAGGAUUAGAUACCCUGGUAGUCCACGCCCUAAACGAUGGGCACUAAGUGUCGGCGGUUUACCGCCGGUGCCGCAGCUAACGCAGUAAGUGCCCCGCCUGGGGAGUACGGCCGUAAGGUUGAAACUCAAAGGAAUUGACGGGGGCCCGCACAAGCGGUGGAGCAUGUGGUUUAAUUCGAUGCAACGCGAAGAACCUUACCUACUCUUGACAUCCAGAGAACUUUCCAGAGAUGGAUUGGUGCCUUCGGGAACUCUGAGACAGGUGCUGCAUGGCUGUCGUCAGCUCGUGUUGUGAAAUGUUGGGUUAAGUCCCGCAACGAGCGCAACCCUUAUCCUUUGUUGCCAGCGGUUAGGCCGGGAACUCAAAGGAGACUGCCAGUGAUAAACUGGAGGAAGGUGGGGAUGACGUCAAGUCAUCAUGGCCCUUACGAGUAGGGCUACACACGUGCUACAAUGGCAUAUACAAAGAGAAGCGACCUCGCGAGAGCAAGCGGACCUCAUAAAGUAUGUCGUAGUCCGGAUCGGAGUCUGCAACUCGACUCCGUGAAGUCGGAAUCGCUAGUAAUCGUGGAUCAGAAUGCCACGGUGAAUACGUUCCCGGGCCUUGUACACACCGCCCGUCACACCAUGGGAGUGGGUUGCAAAAGAAGUAGGUAGCUUAACCCUUCGGGAGGGCGCUUACCACUUUGUGAUUCAUGACUGGGGUGAGUCGUAACAAGUACC
RNAcentral lists this ribosomal RNA (993 nucleotides) under uncultured bacterium. RNAcentral's name for it is "bacterial SSU rRNA". It matches the Rfam family "Bacterial small subunit ribosomal RNA", at positions 505 to 1500 of the family's 1533-position model. The record is from RNAcentral.